This 700-nucleotide ribosomal RNA is filed under the name uncultured bacterium. RNAcentral describes it as "bacterial SSU rRNA". It matches the Rfam family "Bacterial small subunit ribosomal RNA", at positions 8 to 701 of the family's 1533-position model. The record is from RNAcentral.
AGAGUUUGAUCAUGGCUCAGAUUGAACGCUGGCGGCAUGCUUUACACAUGCAAGUCGAACGGCAGCACGGGAGCUUGCUCCUGGUGGCGAGUGGCGAACGGGUGAGUAAUGCACCGGAACGUACCCAGUAAUGGGGGAUAACACAUCGAAAGAUGUGCUAAUACCGCAUACGCCCUGAGGGGGAAAGCGGGGGAUCGUAAGACCUCGCGUUAUUGGAGCGGCCGAUGCCGGAUUAGCUAGUUGGUGAGGUAAGAGCUCACCAAGGCGACGAUCCGUAGCUGGUCUGAGAGGACGACCAGCCACACUGGGACUGAGACACGGCCCAGACUCCUACGGGAGGCAGCAGUGGGGAAUUUUGGACAAUGGGCGCAAGCCUGAUCCAGCCAUUCCGCGUGAGUGAAGAAGGCCUUCGGGUUGUAAAGCUCUUUCGCAAGGGAAGAAAACUUACACAAUAACACUGUGUGAGGCUGACGGUACCUUGAUAAGAAGCACCGGCUAACUACGUGCCAGCAGCCGCGGUAAUACGUAGGGUGCGAGCGUUAAUCGGAAUUACUGGGCGUAAAGCGUGCGCAGGCGGUUUGGCAAGUCAGAUGUGAAAUCCCCGGGCUCAACCUGGGAACUGCAUUUGUGACUGCAUGGCUAGAGUACGGUAGAGGGGGAUGGAAUUCCGCGUGUAGCAGUGAAAUGCGUAGAUAUGCGG